CCCGGCCAUUGUCUAGUACGGCGAGUGAAGCGGCAACAGCUCAAAUUUGAAAGCUAGCCUUCGGGUUCGCAUUGUAAUUUGUAGAGGAUGCUUUGGGUAAAACGCCAGUCUAAGUUCCUUGGAACAGGACGUCAUAGAGGGUGAGAAUCCCGUAUGUGACUGGAAAUGUUAACCUAUGUAAAGCUCCUUCGACGAGUCGAGUUGUUUGGGAAUGCAGCUCUAAAUGGGAGGUAAAUUUCUUCUAAAGCUAAAUAUUGGCGAGAGACCGAUAGCGCACAAGUAGAGUGAUCGAAAGAUGAAAAGCACUUUGGAAAGAGAGUUAAAAAGCACGUGAAAUUGUUGAAAGGGAAGCGCUUGCAAUCAGACUUGUUUAAACUGUUCGGCCGGUCUUCUGACCGGUUUACUCAGUUUGGACAGGCCAGCAUCAGUUUCGGCGGCCGGAUAAAGGCUCUGGGAAUGUGGCCUCCACUUCGGUGGAGGUGUUAUAGCCCAGUGUGUAAUACGGCCAGCCGGGACUGAGGUCCGCGCUUCGGCUAGGAUGCUGGCGUAAUGGUUGUAAGCGACCCGUCUUGAACCACGGGACCA
RNAcentral lists this ribosomal RNA (585 nucleotides) under Aureobasidium pullulans. Its description in RNAcentral is "eukaryotic LSU rRNA". It matches the Rfam family "Eukaryotic large subunit ribosomal RNA", at positions 67 to 664 of the family's 3401-position model. Lineage: Eukaryota; Fungi; Ascomycota; Dothideomycetes; Dothideales; Saccotheciaceae. The record is from RNAcentral.